UUAAAAUCGUCGAGUAAGAGGAGUAAGCAUAUAAAAAGCGUUUGUAGAGAGCUGGUGAUGGUGAAAUUCCAGCACGUGGUUAUAUGCUGAAUGGACUUACAAGAGGUUUCCUGAAAGAAAAAAAGCGAUAUGCCAUGGAGUAAUACCGGCUUGCUUUCAGACAAAAGUAUGGAAACCCGGAGUUCCGCCGUUAUACGGAUAGAAUAUCGAGGCAAUCUCUUUGUAUAGAGACUUCUUCCGUAUUCGAAUAAGAUGAGAAGAUUAAAUUUUUCUCAAAAGAGGUGGCACCGCGGUCACAAUCGUCCUCUAU
This 310-nucleotide non-coding RNA is filed under the name Virgibacillus sp. RNAcentral describes it as "T-box sequence". It matches the Rfam family "T-box leader". From Rfam's summary of the family: Uncharged tRNA acts as the effector for transcription antitermination of genes in the T-box leader family. T-boxes are found upstream of many aminoacyl-tRNA synthetase genes and some amino acid biosynthetic genes usually in Gram-positive bacteria. Lineage: Bacteria; Bacillati; Bacillota; Bacilli; Caryophanales; Bacillaceae. The record is from RNAcentral.